UCUUCCCCCCGCACUCGCUGCCCGUGUCCGCCGUUCGCGAGCCCAGCACAAGCGGCCUAGCGGCCGGUCACCGCCGCUCCGCCGGUCUCGCCCGCGACGUGCAGCCCUGUCGCCCGAUCGCCUCCGCCACUGCCCGCUCAGCCGUGCCGGAACGCUCGCCGCCUCCGAGCGUCUCCACCUGCAACCUGACGCCAGCAGAUCUCGGGCCGGUCACCCCUCACCUGCGAGCUCGCACCGCCGCUCCGCCAGCGACCCGCGAGCCCGACGCCUGCAGUCGCGCCACCGCUCACUCGUCCCCUGCAGCUCCCCCCUCCGAGCGAUGGCACCACAACAACUUCCCCUCCGCCGCACCUGAGUGAUCUGCAGCCUUCCUCGCCGAGCCCCCUACUGCCAGAGGAGGACUCAGAGCCAGAGGAGACGGGAGUCGGGAGAGAUAAAAACGGUUUGUGGAUUUUAUCGGUUUAUGGUUCGGAUCGGUUCAGUUCGGUUAACCGAUAAAAGCCGAACCAAUAAAAGAAUAUUGGUUUUUAAUGGGAACCGAACCGAA
RNAcentral lists this long non-coding RNA (547 nucleotides) under Eucalyptus grandis. RNAcentral describes it as "long non-coding RNA (EGRA_LNC006861)". The record is from RNAcentral. Lineage: Eukaryota; Viridiplantae; Streptophyta; Magnoliopsida; Myrtales; Myrtaceae.